Molecule: unclassified non-coding RNA, 434 nt
Filed under: fungal sp.
Lineage: Eukaryota; Fungi
Description: partial internal transcribed spacer region
Rfam family: Eukaryotic small subunit ribosomal RNA (bases 1-44)
Source: RNAcentral
GUCGUAACAAGGUUUCCGUAGGUGAACCUGCGGAAGGAUCACUACCGAACCUGGGGUGUUGGCAGCGUUUGGGCGUGUGUUGCUGUUUCACAGCAGCGCGCGUCUGGUGCAGCCGGCCCUCAACCCAAAACUCCCUUAUAACCACGUGCAUUAUACACUUGGUAUAUGUGAGCCGCCUGCCGCGUUGGCGGUUGCGCUGGGCUAGCAGUUUGCUGCCGGUCCUUUGCAACUCUAAAUGAACGCGGGCCAAAACAAAACACCGCAUCGACUGCUUGUGUAGCUCCCUUUACUGGGCGCCGCGCAGGUGGCCGGCGUGGUACUUAUAACCACACAACCUGUUUUAUAAACGUAUACAUACGGCGUGGGCGGGGCUUCGGCUCUGCGCACUCUAUAUUAACGGUAUAAAACUUUUAGCAAUGGAUAUCUUGGCUAUU